UACGUAGGGGGCAAGCGAUAUCCGGAUUCACUGGGUGUAAAGGGAGCGUAGGUGGCAUGGUAAGUCAGAUGUGAAAUUUAGGAGCUCAACUUCUAAGCUGCAUCUGAAACUGCUAAGCUAGAGUGCAGGAGAGGAAAGCGGAAGUCCGAGUGUAGCGGUGAAAUGCGUAGAGAUUCGGAGGAACACCAGUAGCGAAGGCGGCUUUCUGGACUGUAACUGACACUGAGGCACGAAAGCGUGGGGAGCAAACAGG
This 253-nucleotide ribosomal RNA is filed under the name uncultured bacterium. Its description in RNAcentral is "partial 16S ribosomal RNA". It matches the Rfam family "Bacterial small subunit ribosomal RNA", at positions 524 to 776 of the family's 1533-position model. The record is from RNAcentral.